RNAcentral lists this ribosomal RNA (270 nucleotides) under uncultured bacterium. RNAcentral describes it as "partial 16S ribosomal RNA". It matches the Rfam family "Bacterial small subunit ribosomal RNA", at positions 524 to 790 of the family's 1533-position model. The record is from RNAcentral.
UACGUAGGUCCCGAGCGUUGUCCGGAUUUAUUGGGCGUAAAGCGAGCGCAGGCGGUUAGAUAAGUCUGAAGUUAAAGGCUGUGGCUUAACCAUAGUACGCUUUGGAAACUGUUUAACUUGAGUGCAAGAGGGGAGAGUGGAAUUCCAUGUGUAGCGGUGAAAUGCGUAGAUAUAUGGAGGAACACCGGUGGCGAAAGCGGCUCUCUGGCUUGUAACUGACGCUGAGGCCUACGAAAGGCGUGGGGAGCAAACAGGAUUCAGAUACCCGGU